Long non-coding RNA from Lycium ferocissimum, 787 nucleotides. RefSeq lists it as uncharacterized. NCBI's taxonomy places the organism in Eukaryota, Viridiplantae, Streptophyta, Magnoliopsida, Solanales, Solanaceae. The transcript is spliced from 3 exons. The record is from RefSeq and is a predicted model, not a curated record.
GGAUGCCCUCACAAACCACGAGUUGGGUCGUGACAACUUGAUAUCAGAGCCUUAGGUUACCGGUCUUACAAGUAUAAGAGCAAUGUCUAGUAGAGCCUUGCGGAUUGAUGGUGAGGACACGUGUUGCAAUUGCCAGAGAUGAUGUACCCGCACCUGCUGUUGGGGCCGAGGCACAAAGUCGUGGAUGAGCCAGAGGCUAUGGUAAAGGUAGAGGUCGUGGGGCAGCACCGGCCCGAGGUAAUGGAGCAAUUUUAGGAUGAAAACUGUUGAAGUGCAGAAUUUGGCCUUGAUGACAAAAUAUUGGCCGUAUUCCUUGGGCGUAAUUAAAGUUAAGCUGAAACAGAAAGGCAUGCUGAGAAGAUGUUAAAAUACGAACAACUUUUACGGACCGUAUUCCACUUUACGGUACGUAUUUCAAAGCGUAUUUAACAUUAAGACACUUGGCAGAAAGUUGAGAUUUUACAAGUUGAAAUAUGACCAAGCAGAAUACGGACCGUAAAUCAAAAUACAGUCCACAAUCUAUGAUGUUGCAGUUGCCCAGAUUUUGAAGGAAGACCAAGGCGUAAACUAGUUUACGGUCCGUAAUGUGAAAUACGGACCGUAUUUUAUGUCGUCGGGGACCAAAGUGUAAUUAUGUAACUUUUAUGUUUCAAAACCUAUAAAUAGCCCAAUGUAGGGUUUUAUUUCCUACCAGUUAUUAUUUUCUUGACUUUUGGCUUAGAACAUUAAUACUCUCUUGACUUUGGAGAUUCAAAACAUCAAUUCAAGUAUUAUCAAUUCCUCUUUU